AUUGAACGCUGGCGGCAUGCUUUACACAUGCAAGUCGAACGGUAACAGGCCUUCGGGUGCUGACGAGUGGCGAACGGGUGCGUAAUGCAUCGGAACGUACCCAGAGGUGGGGGAUAACGGAGCGAAAGCUGUGCUAAUACCGCAUGUGAUCUGAGGAUGAAAGCGGGGGACCGAGCAGCAAUGUUUGGCCUCGCGCCUUUGGAGCGGCCGAUGUCGGAUUAGCUAGUUGGUGGGGUAAAGGCCUACCAAGGCGACGAUCCGUAGCUGGUCUGAGAGGACGACCAGCCACACUGGGACUGAGACACGGCCCAGACUCCUACGGGAGGCAGCAGUGGGGAAUUUUGGACAAUGGGCGCAAGCCUGAUCCAGCAAUGCCGCGUGCGGGAAGAAGGCCUUCGGGUUGUAAACCGCUUUUGGUAGGAACGAAACGGUGUCCGCUAAUACCGGGCGCUAAUGACGGUACCUGCAGAAUAAGCACCGGCUAACUACGUG
RNAcentral lists this ribosomal RNA (492 nucleotides) under uncultured bacterium. Its description in RNAcentral is "partial 16S ribosomal RNA". It matches the Rfam family "Bacterial small subunit ribosomal RNA", at positions 29 to 507 of the family's 1533-position model. The record is from RNAcentral.